Athalia rosae (coleseed sawfly) is the source of this 1863-nucleotide long non-coding RNA. RefSeq lists it as uncharacterized. Lineage: Eukaryota; Metazoa; Arthropoda; Insecta; Hymenoptera; Athaliidae. The transcript has 4 exons. The record is from RefSeq and is a predicted model, not a curated record.
GAAUCCGAGGUAGACCUGUUGGUCGGCGGCGACGGCGAGCAGACGGUCUUAGCGCAGGCGCCGAAGAACGGCGACGACUCCUGGGGCGGCGGAAGCGACCGGGUGAACGACUGGAAGGAACGGCUCGGCGUCACCAUGGAAGUUUCCAAGAGGAGGAAGGAGGCGGUGAAGGAGGCGGUGGAGAGGGACCGGUGUACAACAACGCACUAGUGUAACGAUUAACCGAAUUAGAUUGUCAAAAUCAUACCAUAAGCGGAGGUUUGCUGUCGCUGGAAAGGAUUGGUGCCGACAAAGGACAACUGAUACUUAACGGCUGUAACGAAACAACGAGCGGCGUGCUGCGCAACGUUACGUGAUCACCGCCGCUCAGCAUCAGCUGGAGUACCUGCGUGUGGUAGAGACCCUGAACGGCUUCGCCGUUGAUGUGGGUUAUCAGGUCGCCCGGUCUCAGACCCGCCUCGAACGCCGGACUCGACUGAUCCACCGCCUGCGGAAAGGAGGAAGAAAAAAAGAAAACGCGAGACUCACGGAGACGUUACUAGAGCCUGGAGUUGUUCCGUAACCGCUCGACGGUAAGCUAGCAACGGACCAUCGUCUGCCAUCGGCGACCGCGGUGUUACUAGCGCUGAUUCUGCAUGAAAAAUUUGAGGUAAUGACGACGAUGAUCACCGACAGACACAACUAGCAGUCUGGAUGAAGUGAACGGAUAUCAGAAUUGUUUUGCUUUCUGGCAGAAAAGAAUCUAAGCGUUAAGCUCCUACUUUGUUCGACAAGUGGAUGAAUGAAUUAUCAACAUAUUGAACAUCGGUAACAGUCUGAAGUAAAUAAGGUGCGAACCAAGUGGAUGUAUAAAAAUGAAAAAAUAGAUACCUUUUAAUUGGUGCAAAAGGAAAAUGUGGACUGGAUGACAUCCUAGGACUCUCUAGGGGACUGCCUACAAUUUGGACAAAGACUAUCGUUAGGAACAGGAGAUAACUCCGCUUACUGUUAAUACUAAUUUUUACCUAAGAUAUCGUUUAUUGCCCUGCGCACAACAAAGCAUAUUUGAUCGUUACUAUCUGAAGUUAUUCAAAGCAUACAUGUACGGUAGAGACGUGCCGUGGCAUCAAUCAAACGGUAGCCAAUAUGUGCUCUGGGCAAUAAGAUAAUAAUCAUAAAAUAUUUUAAAGAGAUAUCUGCUUGCUAUCGGCAACUAUUUUGCUUGUAUUUCAACUAACUACAAGCCAAAAUCAAAUGACAACAAGUUAUUAGCGAGUGUUUCAAUUUAAAACCCACCACAGAUCGGCGACUGGCAACGCGGUAGAGUCGGUGAAGUUGUAGCAAUGAACGACUUUCGAUGAGCUGCUUUUGCUGCCCUUCGAGGAAUAUUGAAGUCACGCUACAAUUCAGAUGGACAAAAUGAGAAUAUGAAUCUGCCCACGACAUCCGAGUUACCAUCGGUUUGAAUAAAUCGCUCUUCAAAAAUUUACCAACCAUGUGAACAGACAGUGAUGGUGCUGAUUUUCCUAUCGCAGAGUUUCGCAAUCGUACCAAAUUCGAUAUUUCCCCUGCAGCUGGAAUCACGAGGAACACGUGAAUCUAUGCUUAGCCUAAAUUCACCAGGUUUCUAUUACCUGUUGAAACUAUAUAGUCAAGGUGAUAAUAUUUCCGUUAAAAAUUACCAAGCAUGCAAAGAGCUAUCGUUGAGCAAUUCAUGUAAAUCUUUUUCUGGGGAUAAAAUUUUAUUAGGAGAUAUAGAUAAGUGAUCACAUGCUUCAAUGUUAUUAGGUGUGGCAUAGUUGUCGAGUGCAUAAAUCUCUAGUGAUUACUGUCCGAUACUUGUGAGGUAAUGAUAAGAAAUAUAGAAUCUUUAAUUGGAUGUUA